CCAAAGUAGUGCUGCUACACACCAUGAACAAGAAAGAGAAGACCUCAGCCUGCAUGAACGGUCUUGAAAUGCGAAUGGUCUUGGGUCUAGGCUUUUUAUAUUGAGUUUCUCUACUGUCUCCCCUUCUGCUCAAGCAAAAUCUGUGUGAAAAGAUCUGCUGGGAAGGAGCUGACUGCUUAUGAUUCUCCAUUGUGAUGAAAGCACGUGGUACAGGUCUUGCGAUACAGACGUGUCUCUGCUUGCUUGGAAUUCAAAAUGCUUCGGAUAAAGAAUAUUGCAGAGUGAAAUUUGUGGCAGAAAAUGUGCCCGAUUGUUUGUUUAUUAUUCCUGAGGGUGUUUGCAGGGCUGAACUAUCACAUGUAGAAAAGAACAGCUUUGUUUGGAAAAUACAGUAGGAGCAGUACUAGAAAACUGAAUUAAGUAAAGAAACUUAGGGAGUCCAUCUUUGACUGAUGAUGCUUCUUAUUUGCUCUUCAUUAUUCCCUGUGAAGGAAUAAAAACUAUGAAAUUGGAUUUGAAAACUGAAUUAAGACAAAUGGCUUCUCAGAUUUUUUUUUACCUAAACCGUUUGCGAAUUUUCUAG
This 583-nucleotide long non-coding RNA is filed under the name Balaenoptera musculus (blue whale). RNAcentral's name for it is "lncRNA (ENSBMSG00010008467.1)". The record is from RNAcentral. Lineage: Eukaryota; Metazoa; Chordata; Mammalia; Artiodactyla; Balaenopteridae.